Molecule: ribosomal RNA, 586 nt
Filed under: uncultured earthworm cast bacterium
Lineage: Bacteria
Description: bacterial SSU rRNA
Rfam family: Bacterial small subunit ribosomal RNA
Source: RNAcentral
AGACAUGCAAGUCGAACGCGAAAGUUUCCUUCGGGGAGCGAGUAGAGUGGCGCACGGGUGAGUAACACGUAGGUAAUCUACCUUUGGAUGGGGAAUAACAACCGGAAACGGUUGCUAAUACCGCAUAAUGCAGCGGCACCUAAUGGUGACAGUUGUUAAAGCGGGGGAUCGAAAGACCUCGCGUCUGAAGAGGAGCCUGCGGCGGAUUAGCUAGUUGGUAAGGUAAUGGCUUACCAAGGCUAUGAUCCGUAACCGGCCUGAGAGGGCGGUCGGUCACACUGACACUGACAUACGGGUCAGACUCCUACGGGAGGCAGCAGUCGGGAAUUUUGGGCAAUGGGCGAAAGCCUGACCCAGCAACGCCGCGUGAAGGAUGAAAUCCCUCGGGAUGUAAACUUCGCAAGAACAGGAAGAAUAAGUAAGGGUUAAUAUCUCUUACGAUGACGGUACUGUUUGUAAGCUCCGGCUAACUCCGUGCCAGCAGCCCGCGGUAAUACGGGGGGAGCAAGCGUUGUUCGGAUUUACUGGGCGUAAAGGGCGCGUAGGCGGCCACCCGCAAGUCGGUUGUGAAAUCUCUGGGCUUAAC